Molecule: ribosomal RNA, 259 nt
Filed under: uncultured archaeon
Lineage: Archaea
Description: partial 16S ribosomal RNA
Rfam family: Archaeal small subunit ribosomal RNA
Source: RNAcentral
UGGGGAUAAUACUGGAUAUUAGGCUAUGCCUGGAAUGGUUUGCCUUUGAAAUGUUUUUUUUCGCCUAAGGAUAGGUCUGCGGCUGAUUAGGUCGUUGGUGGGGUAAUGGCCCACCAAGCCGAUGAUCGGUACGGGUUGUGAGAGCAAGGGCCCGGAGAUGGAACCUGAGACAAGGUUCCAGACCCUACGGGGUGCAGCAGGCGCGAAACCUCCGCAAUGUACGAAAGUGCGACGGGGGGAUCCCAAGUGUUAUGCUUUU